CUUUUGGAUCCAGAUUCUUGACUCCUUUUCUUUUCUUUUGUUUGACUUUUUUUUUUAUCGUUUUCCUUCUCGCCUAUUUUCGUCGAGUCCAAAUUAUAUACGUUUCAGCGCAACUUGCGAUAUCCGUAGAAAAUUUGAAAAUACACGUUGUUACGUCCGACGCGACCGAUUGGUUCGUUUAUACCACGUGUAUUAAGGUCUCCGAACUCGUGGUUUAAACGAGCGCGGAUACUUCUAUGAAUACCGAAUGCCAAUUACUUAGGAUUACAGCUCUGAAACCGAAAGAAUGGUGUACAGGAAUUUUUCGUCGUAGUUUAGCAUUUAUUUAAUUCUGCGUCGGAUGUUUUUGUGAAUACCGUAUUCGUGAUUGCUAGAGACAGGAGCAAAAGUUAAAGAGGACUGCAUACGAAUCCUUGUCGUAACAGAGGUCUCGGCUAGCGUGAUAAUAACCGUGUUGCGACUAACGAUUGACGAAUAAUACGAAAUGGGACCAGCAGCAAUUAAACGUCACGGUCAUUGGAAUUGACUUUAUCAAUCUUCGUUAAUAGUCACACGUAUGCGUUUAUUACCCGGACGAGAACAUGUUCCCCAUCGCGUGUCCAUUUCUCACACAAAUACAUAUUUACUUUUCAAUCCGAAUGAAAGUAACCGAUCGAAAGUAUAACAGUAAAGAAAGAAACGAAAGAAGAUCAUCCGAUAGCAGGUUACAGAGAAAAAGAUGGAAAAAUGGCGAUCCGUGUCUAUUCUCAGUAUUUAAGGCAGCCUUUAACGUUAAGAUGGUUGGGUUCAGUUCCUACAAUGACACGUUUAUCGGGCAUUUGGUGGUUGAAAUGCGAUUCGUACCGUGUGUAUUUGCUGAACUGUAAAGUUGAGGUAUAUACAUUUAUUAGAGUAGAAGAGAAAUGUUAUACAAGUGAUCGAUUCGAGAUAUGUUCGCGACUUGUUGAUAUAAGCCUUCUUCCUCGCCACUUCUCUCCCGGUUCCGUUUUAGCCGACGCUUCCGUUGAGGGGUUUCUCUACGUAAUCUCAUUAUUACUUUCUUUUUUGUUUGUUUACUCUCUUUUAUUCAGGCUUGUUUUGAGAACGACCGAUUUGCGAUUUAUUGGUUCCGCCGGAUUUGUUUUGCGACGAAUCUCUCUCUGUCUUGUUCUUUUUGUACCGCUACUUCCGUAAAAUUGUAUCAAUAGUUUUCUCGUCUUCUUUUUCCUCCCCCAUUCUUUUUUCAACGAGUAUACAUCGUUACUUUUUUUCUAAUUAUACGACUCGAUGAUGAUUAUGAUUACAAUAUGACAAUGUUGAGAUAUGAAAUAAAUUGUGUAAAUAUAUCAUUUUCGUAAAACCGUUUGCUUUUCCCUUAUGCCUUCUGACUUUAAACGGGGCCAGCGAAUAAACGAAGGGUAGUAAAAGUUCAAUUGUAUAUAAAUAAGUAUGUAUAUUAUUAAAAAAAGAUAUGGUGGAUGUAAAAUUGUACAGGAAUUUGUAUCGAAUUAUAUAAGGUCUGAGAAUUAUUGAGGUAGAUCGGAAUUCGGUUCAGCGUUUUUGGUUAAAUGCAAUCCAUUAAUUUUCUUGGUAGAAACGAGGAUUAAGUAGAAAGAUUUCACCUGUUCACGGACCGUAACCUUUGAACCGAAUGUUUUAUGUGUAUCCUUAUCGUAGAAUCGCAAUGAAAACCUUUGUUGUCUUGUUUGAAAUUUCAUUCAAUUGCCUGGAGCAUCUACAAAAGAAUAUUCGAAUAAAAAAGAGUUAUUGAAUUAAUUGUAUGUAGGCUCUGUAGAAUUAAUCAUGAUCUUACUUGGUACUGGAUAGUUGAACACAGGAUACUUAGGCGCGAAGGGAGUACUUGCACCGUACACAUAAUCGGAUUCACCGACAUCUUUGAUGUGUUGAGCUCUUGAUACACAUUCUUCGUAGGAUGGAGGUGCUGCAUAUAAAUGAAAGUCGCUGGAGGUACCAGCCUGGUCCGGCAUAAUGAAACCAAUAUGUCUACCAGGAACAUUGGAAUGUGAUGCUUCUGGCAGUGGCAUUGGAACUGGCGGUGCUGAUUCUUUUCCGAUCGCUGGUCUGACAUGUGUUUGUUCGUUAGGCGGUGCGCUUGGUGUACUGUAUAUUGGUAUUGUUCCGAUGAGAAGAGGGUACCUUUUUUCAAUUCUGCGGUGCCUAAUUGUUGUUGGAAAACACAUUUUAAUGGAAAGUAGUGCAGUUUGAAUCAAUCUGAUUAAUUAUCCCAAAUAUACGACUUGGAUAUUUAAGCCCAAGUAGUUCAAUUUACAUUUUGUCUAUGGAUACUCAACAGAAAACAGCCAUGUCGCAUGUUUAUAAAUUAGAAAAAUAUAGAUGUGAUUUUAAGUUCUGAUUUAGAUAGACCUGUUACUUUUUUGUAGAAUUCAUAUUUUCGUAUACCAAUCUUGAAAUAAUCAUGUAAAAAGGAAACCUACAAUUUUUAAUACGAUAUAAUAAAGGGAAGAUUAUGAAACCUUUUUUAAAAUUGAAAACUGAUGUAGGGAGGUCUCCAUAACGGCGCAUCGUAAUUAAAUAAUUAAAAAUCUAAAAAAAUUAUUGAGACCUUCCAAUUUUUGCUCAAUUAGCCUUAUGGUUAGUUCAUUCGAUGAGUGAUCUAAUUAUAUUUCACGUUAUCAAAAUUCCAACGUUAUAAUUCUAACGUGAUAAGAUACGUGUUACUGAGGUUUCUACGUACGCUCCUGGAAAAUGGACAAGAAUUUUUAAGUUGUAGUUCAAGUCUAUGAUGUCGCAAAAUUGUAGGUAAGACGGCGGGAUCGGCGGUAUCCUGAGUUCUAAAUAGAUUUGUCCAUCUGAUGUAAAAGGUCCUGAAUAUGAACUCGCCAUAACUUCGAAAUGUUCAGUUCUCGUUUUGGUAGUCGUAUGAAAUUUGAUUUCCUUGAAAGGAAAAUGAUGGAAUAAUGAUCAUUCGCUGCUGAAAAUCUUUACAGUUUCACUUACUCGUUCCAAUUUCAUACUGAUCUUCGCUAUUGGAAUACCAUUCGAAAAAUUUUUGUAGUCCACCACUGUGAUGAUCAUCUGUCCAGGAACGUAUCCAGAAGAUGGUACUCGAAUGACUGUACUUAACGAGCCCAUAUUAAAGCAGCAAAGAGAACGGAAGGUCUUCUGAGCUUCAUCAUGGAUUCCCAACUGCUCAAAGUCUAGAACGGAGACCACAGUAAAAGCUGCUUUACAUUCGUGAUCGAAUUUCCAAGGCCUGUCGAUCACAGAUUUAACCGUGUAUCGGACGUAUCCGACACUGUGUUCGAAGCUACUGGGAAUGUUACAGGGAAGCAGAAAUUCGAAUGGGUACUGAUGAUAUCCCUCGGAGAGUUUGACCCUUGAAUCUGCUGGAAAGUGUCAAAGAAAAAUAUUAUAAAAUAUGACAAUGUUUACUUGGAUAAAUGAAGGAAACAGCAUCCAUGAGAUUAGAUAAGGUCUGUCAACUGAUUGAACGAUUGCAAUUGGUGGGACACACCUCCAUCGGUACCCAGUAUAUUGCCCUUUAUUUUAAAAUAUUCCUGCGAUGCGUAGUAGGAUGUACUUGUAGUUCUUCUAUCCUUUCCGGUACCAGUUUCUGACGAUUCCGUCCAAUGCACGUGGGCCGAACCUUUAGCAGUGAAAUGGAGUCCUAAAAUUGGUAAUUGUUUUUUUAAUAAAUUUGGUAUGAACUCUCGUUAUCGUGUAUUUAAUUCUGAUUUACAUUUUAUACUUUUGUACUUUGUGCUACGGAUAUUAAUUCUUUAAGCCUCUACUGAUAACAUCAAUUGGUCUUGUGAUACUAAUAGUUAGAUAGUGGAAAUAGUAAUAAGAUGAAAAAUUUUCCCCAUUUCAUAUACUUAUGGGGUGUUAUUUAAUUGUGUAUAAAUAAUGUGUAUAAUUUUUUUAUAUGUAUUUAA
Nomia melanderi (Alkali bee) is the source of this 3896-nucleotide non-coding RNA. The record is from RefSeq and is a predicted model, not a curated record. Lineage: Eukaryota; Metazoa; Arthropoda; Insecta; Hymenoptera; Halictidae.